UACGUAGGGUGCGAGCGUUGAUCCGGAAUUACUGGGCGUAAAGCGUGCGCAGGCGGUUUUGUAAGUCAGAUGUGAAAUCCCCGGGCUCAACCUGGGAACUGCGUUUGUGACUGCACGGCUAGAGUGUGUCAGAGGGGGGUAGAAUUCCACGUGUAGCAGUGAAAUGCGUAGAUAUGUGGAGGAAUACCGAUGGCGAAGGCAGCCCCCUGGGAUAACACUGACGCUCAUGCACGAAAGCGUGGGGAGCAAACAGG
RNAcentral lists this ribosomal RNA (254 nucleotides) under uncultured bacterium. RNAcentral describes it as "partial 16S ribosomal RNA". It matches the Rfam family "Bacterial small subunit ribosomal RNA", at positions 524 to 776 of the family's 1533-position model. The record is from RNAcentral.